CUACGGGUCGCAGCAGUAAGGAAUAUUGCGCAAUGGAGGCAACUCUGACGCAGCCAUGCCGCGUGCAGGAAGAAGGCCUUAUGGGUCGUAAACUGCUUUUAUUUAGGAAUAAACCCCCGAACGUGUUCGGGGCUGAAGGUACUAAACGAAUAAGCACCGGCUAACUCCGUGCCAGCAGGCCGCGGUAAUACGGAGGGUGCAAGCGUUAUCCGGAUUGAUUGGGUUUAAAGGGUGCGCAGGCGGGCUAUUAAGUCAGUGGUGAAAUCCCGGGGCUCAACUCCGGAAAUGCCAUUGAUACUGAUAGUCUUGAGUUUGGUUGAAGUGGGCGGAAUGUAGCAUGUAGCGGUGAAAUGCAUAGAUAUGCUACAGAACACCAAUCGCGAAGGCAGCUCACUAAGCCAAAACUGACGCUCAUGCACGAAAGCGUGGGGAUCAAACAGGAUUAGAUACCCCAGUAGUC
This 460-nucleotide ribosomal RNA is filed under the name uncultured bacterium. RNAcentral describes it as "partial 16S ribosomal RNA". It matches the Rfam family "Bacterial small subunit ribosomal RNA", at positions 339 to 795 of the family's 1533-position model. The record is from RNAcentral.